GCCAGGAGUGGUGCUGCAUGCCUGUAAUCCUAGCAGCUCAGGAGGCUGAGGCAGGAGGAUCGCUAGUUCAAAGCCAGUGUCAGCCAAAAUGAGGUACUAAGCAACUCGGUGAGACCCUGUCUCUA
This 125-nucleotide small RNA is filed under the name Marmota monax (woodchuck). The record is from RNAcentral. Lineage: Eukaryota; Metazoa; Chordata; Mammalia; Rodentia; Sciuridae.